UUGAACGCUGGCGGCAGGCCUAACACAUGCAAGUCGAGCGCGAAAGGUUUUCGGACUGAGUAAAGCGGCGGACGGGUGAGUAACGCGUGGGAAUCUGCCCAGUAGUGGGGGACAACAGUCGGAAACGACUGCUAAUACCGCAUACGCCCUACGGGGGAAAGGGGGGGACCUUCGGACCUCCCGCUAUUGGAUGAGCUCGCGUCGGAUUAGCUAGUUGGUAGGGUAAAGGCCUACCAAGGCUACGGUCCGUAACUGGUCUGAGAGGAUGAUCAGUCACACUGGAACUGAGACACGGUCCAGACUCCUACGGGAGGCAGCAGUGGGGAAUAUUGGACAAUGGGGGCAACCCUGAUCCAGCCAUGCCGUGUGUGUGAAGAAGGCCUUAGGGUUGUAAAGCACUUUCAGUGGGGAGAAAGGUUUGUCACCUAAUACGUGAUGAAAUUGAUGUUACCCACAGAAGAAGCACCGGCUAACUCCGUGCCAGCCGCCGCCGUAA
Molecule: ribosomal RNA, 496 nt
Filed under: uncultured bacterium
Lineage: Bacteria
Description: partial 16S ribosomal RNA
Rfam family: Bacterial small subunit ribosomal RNA
Source: RNAcentral